ACUCAAAUGAAUUGACGGGGACCCGCACAAGCAGCGGAGCGUGUGGUUUAAUUCGAUGCAACGCGCAGAACCUUACCAGGAUUUGACAUGCCACUGCACCAUCCGUUAUGGGAUGUCCGAGCAAUCGGCGGUGGCACAGGUGCUGCAUGGCUGUCGUCAGCUCGUGUCGUGAGAUGUUGGGUUCAGUCCCGCAACGAGCGCAACCCUUGCUGCUAGUUGCAAGAUCUAGCAGGACUGCCGCGAAGAACGCGGAGGAAGGCGGGGAUGACGUCAAGUCAGCACGGCCCUUACAUCCUGGGCGACACACACGCUACAAUGGUCGGGACAACGGGCUGCCAACCCGCGAGGGGGAGCCAAUCCCAGCAAACCCGGCCUCAGUUCAGAUUGCAGGCUGCAACCCGCCUGCAUGAAGGAGGAGUUGCUAGUAACCGGAGGUCAGCACACUCCGGUGAAUACGUUCCCGGGUCUUGCACACACCGCCCGU
This 484-nucleotide ribosomal RNA is filed under the name uncultured bacterium. RNAcentral describes it as "partial 16S ribosomal RNA". It matches the Rfam family "Bacterial small subunit ribosomal RNA", at positions 899 to 1397 of the family's 1533-position model. The record is from RNAcentral.